This 255-nucleotide ribosomal RNA is filed under the name Triticum aestivum (bread wheat). Its description in RNAcentral is "partial small subunit ribosomal RNA". Lineage: Eukaryota; Viridiplantae; Streptophyta; Magnoliopsida; Poales; Poaceae. The record is from RNAcentral.
AUGUGUGCCUUUCAAACUAAGGGUCAGGGUUUCUUUUACAUUCCUGAUUAUAGCAUGGAUAGGCAGAGUAGGGAAAAUAUUUUCAAUAUUGUUGUCACCAUUACUGAUGGCUCUGCUUAGACCAAAGAUAUUGAGCACGAGUUGAGUGUGUACGUUGGUCAGGGAUGGCGUUGCUCUGCUAGAUUCUUUGCUCCACAAAAGUUUGUCAUGAGGAUGCCGAACCCUAGAGAGGUUGACAGAGCUCUUUUUGUUGAA